Molecule: ribosomal RNA, 433 nt
Filed under: uncultured bacterium
Lineage: Bacteria
Description: partial 16S ribosomal RNA
Rfam family: Bacterial small subunit ribosomal RNA
Source: RNAcentral
AACGAACGCUGGCGGCAUGCCUAACACAUGCAAGUCGAACGAGACCUUCGGGUCUAGUGGCGCACGGGUGCGUAACGCGUGGGAACCUGCCCUUAGGUUCGGAAUAACUCCCCGAAAGGGGUGCUAAUACCGGAUAAUGUCUUCGGACCAAAGAUUUAUCGCCUUUGGAUGGGCCCGCGUUGGAUUAGCUAGUUGGUAGGGUAAAAGCCUACCAAGGCGACGAUCCAUAGCUGGUCUGAGAGGAUGAUCAGCCACACUGGGACUGAGACACGGCCCAGACUCCUACGGGAGGCAGCAGUGGGGAAUAUUGGACAAUGGGCGAAAGCCGGAUCCAGCAAUGCCGCGUGAGUGAUGAAGGCCUUAGGGUUGUAAAGCUCUUUUACCCGGGAUGAUAAUGACAGUACCGGGAGAAUAAGCACCGGCUAACUCCGUG